GCUUUCGUGGUGUAAUGGUCAGCACACUCGGCGCGUAUUCGAGAAGUCCGAGGUUCGAAUCCUAGCGAGGGCA
This 73-nucleotide transfer RNA is filed under the name Stegodyphus mimosarum. It matches the Rfam family "tRNA". Rfam says of the family: Transfer RNA (tRNA) molecules are approximately 80 nucleotides in length. Their secondary structure includes four short double-helical elements and three loops (D, anti-codon, and T loops). The record is from Rfam by way of RNAcentral. Lineage: Eukaryota; Metazoa; Arthropoda; Arachnida; Araneae; Eresidae.